UGGGCUUGACAUGCUAGGAUUAUCCUCGUGAAAGCGAGGUAGGCCCCGCAAGGGGUACAACUAGUACAGGUGCUGCAUGGCUGUCGUCAGCUCGUGUCGUGAGAUGUCGGGUUAAGUCCCUUAACGAGCGAAACCUUUGCCCUUAGUUACCACCGGGUCAUGCCGGGGACUCUAAGGGGACUGCCGGUGUCAAACCGGAGGAAGGUGGAGAUGACGUCAAGUCCUCAUGGCCUUUAUGCCCAGGGCCACA
This 250-nucleotide ribosomal RNA is filed under the name uncultured bacterium. Its description in RNAcentral is "partial 16S ribosomal RNA". It matches the Rfam family "Bacterial small subunit ribosomal RNA", at positions 976 to 1218 of the family's 1533-position model. The record is from RNAcentral.